This 678-nucleotide long non-coding RNA is filed under the name Homo sapiens (human). RNAcentral describes it as "HSALNT0091972". The record is from RNAcentral. Lineage: Eukaryota; Metazoa; Chordata; Mammalia; Primates; Hominidae.
UGAACUGCAGCUGCCAGGGGUUCCUCCAGAAGCUCCUCCCCCAGGAGUUCCCUUCAAGUGCCAGAAAUCUGGCCACUGGGCCAAGGAAUGCCCGCAGCCCAGGAUUCCUCCCAAGCUGUGUCCCAUCUGUGUGGGACCCCACUGAAAAUCGGACUGUUCAACUCACCUGGCAGUCACUUCCAGAGCCCCUGGAACUUUGGCCCAAGGCUCUCUGACUGACUCCUUCCCAGAUCUACUUGGCUUAGCUGCUGAAGACUGAUGCUGACUGAUCCCCUCAGAAGCCCCCAGACCAUCACGGACACCAAGCUUUGGGUAACUCUUACAGUGGAGGGAAGGCAGGAAUGUCAGGCCUCUGAGCACAGCUAAGCUGUCAUAUCCCCUGUGACCUGCACGAAUACAUCCAGAUGGCCUGAAGCAACUGAAGAUCCACAAAAGAAGUGAAAAUAGCCUUAACUGAUGACAUUCCACCAUUGUGAUUUGUUUCUGCCCCACCCUAACUGAUCAAUGUACUUUGUCAUCUCCCCCAUCCUUAAGAAGGUUCUUUGUAAUUCUCCCCACCCUUGAGAAUGUACUUUGUGAGAUCCAUCCCCUGCCCUCAAAACAUUGCUCCUAAUUCCACUGCCUAUCCCAAAAUCUAUAAGAACUAAUGAUAAUCCACCACCCUUUGCUGACUCUCUU